UCCGGGCGGGCUGCGCGCUGCUAUUCGCCAGGAGUCUGGCCCCAGCCUCCGCCCCGCCCGGGCCCCGCCGCCGCCCGAGGUCUCUGGGAAAGAGAUCAAAAGCUAGAAGAGACUGCCAGAGCAGAGCAGAGACUGGAGGUUUGAGACGCAAAACUGGAAAAGGCUGGGAAUAUGAAGAUGGAGAAUUAAUGCCUAGACCCUUCAUCCUCACUGAAACUUGUGUUUUCAGAGACUCCCUUCCCACCCUCCGUGUGCCAAAAUAGUGUGUCACCCGCUCGGCUUAAGAGAGUUCCUGUCUUGGAAACCCCCAAGUGCCAUUUUCCUUAGCAGGUCUGUCCUCAUGUGACUCCCUAAAAGAAGGGUGACUCGGGGACGGUUACUCCUCCCUGAAAAACCAGUGCCCUUCCACACCAUCCUAGCUCCGCAGUACUGACAUUCCCGUGGAGCUAGGGUUAAUGAAAAUAGAAACAUAACAAUGCCAUUUCCAUUCAUUGAUGACUUUAACUGACCUAGUUUAUUAGAGGCAGGCAAUUUGUCACUUAGUUAGGAAAACAGUACCAAAUGGAGACUAAAAAGGAGUCUUCACCGCGGGAGCCAGAUGUCUUCAUUCACAUCAAGUUCCAUAAGCAAGGCCAAUGUGCCUCAGUGCUCUAUUAAAUGAAAAUAAAAAUGAUACACGCUA
This is a long non-coding RNA of Mus musculus (house mouse), 682 nucleotides long. RefSeq lists it as uncharacterized. Lineage: Eukaryota; Metazoa; Chordata; Mammalia; Rodentia; Muridae. The transcript is spliced from 2 exons. The record is from RefSeq and is marked validated.